Molecule: ribosomal RNA, 253 nt
Filed under: uncultured bacterium
Lineage: Bacteria
Description: partial 16S ribosomal RNA
Rfam family: Bacterial small subunit ribosomal RNA
Source: RNAcentral
UACAGAGGGGGCAAGCGUUAUUCGGAAUUAUUGGGCGUAAAGGGCGCGUAGGCGGCUUGGCAAGUGGAAGGUGAAAUCCCUCGGCUUAACCGAGGAACUGCCCUCCAAACUGCUUUGCUUGAGGCCGGGAGAGGUGAGUGGAAUUCCCAGUGUAGCGGUGAAAUGCGUAGAUAUUGGGAGGAACACCAGUGGCGAAGGCGGCUCACUGGACCGGUUCUGACGCUGAUGCGCGAAAGCGUGGGUAGCAAACAGG